This 397-nucleotide ribosomal RNA is filed under the name uncultured bacterium. Its description in RNAcentral is "partial 16S ribosomal RNA". It matches the Rfam family "Bacterial small subunit ribosomal RNA", at positions 523 to 918 of the family's 1533-position model. The record is from RNAcentral.
AUACGUAGGGAGCAAGCGUUAUCCGGAUUUACUGGGUGUAAAGGGCGCGCAGGCGGGCUUGCAAGUUGGGAGUGAAAUCCCGGGGCUCAACCCCGGAACUGCUUUCAAAACUGUGAGUCUUGAGUGAUGGAGAGGCAGGCGGAAUUCCCAGUGUAGCGGUGAAAUUCGUAGAUAUUGGGAGGAACACCAGUGGCGAAGGCGGCUAACUGGACUGCAACUGACGCUGAGGCGCGAAAGUGUGGGGAGCAAACAGGAUUAGAUACCCUGGUAGUCCACACUGUAAACGAUGAAUGCUAGGUGUAAGAGGUAUCGACCCCUUUUGUGCCGGAGUCAACACAAUAAGCAUUCCGCCUGGGGAGUACGGCCGCAAGGUUGAAACUCAAAGGAAUUGACGGGG